UCCAGACUCCUACGGGAGGCAGCAGUGAGGAAUAUUGGUCAAUGGGCGGGAGCCUGAACCAGCCAAGUCGCGUGAGGGAAGACGGUCCUAUGGAUUGUAAACCUCUUUAGGCGGGGAGCAAUGCCGGGCACGUGUGCCCGGAGGGAGAGUACCCGCAGAAUAAGCAUCGGCUAACUCCGUGCCAGCAGCCGCGGUAAUACGGAGGAUGCGAGCGUUAUCCGGAUUUAUUGGGUUUAAAGGGUGCGCAGGCGGCACGGCAAGCCGGGGGUCAAAUCGCGGGGCUCAACCCCGCCCAGCCGUCGGAACUGCCGGGCUAGAGUGGGCGAGAAGUGCGCGGAAUGCGUGGUGUAGCGGUGAAAUGCAUAGAUAUCACGCAGAACUCCGAUUGCGAAGGCAGCGCACCGGCGCCCUACUGACGCUCAGGCACGAAAGCGUGGGUAUCGAACAGGAUUAGAUACCCCUGUAUC
This 467-nucleotide ribosomal RNA is filed under the name uncultured bacterium. RNAcentral describes it as "bacterial SSU rRNA". It matches the Rfam family "Bacterial small subunit ribosomal RNA", at positions 330 to 795 of the family's 1533-position model. The record is from RNAcentral.